AUUGAACGCUGGCGGCAGGCCUAACACAUGCAAGUCGAACGAGUGGCGGACGGGUGAGUAAUGUCUGGGAAACUGCCUGAUGGAGGGGGAUAACUACUGGAAACGGUAGCUAAUACCGCAUACCAUCAGAUGUGCCCAGAUGGGAUUAGCUAGUUGGUGGGGUAACGGCUCACCAAGGCGACGAUCCCUAGCUGGUCUGAGAGGAUGACAAGCCACACGGGAAGUGAGACACGUUCAAGACUCAUACGGGAGGCAGCAGGGGGGAAUAGUGCAAAAUGGUCUCAAGCCUGAUGCAGCCAGGCCGCGUGUAUGAAGAAGGCCUUCGGGUUGUAAAUGACUUUCAGCGGGGAGGCGUUACCCGCAGAAGAAGCACCGGCUAACUCCGUGCCAGCAGCCGCGGUAAUAC
RNAcentral lists this ribosomal RNA (406 nucleotides) under uncultured bacterium. Its description in RNAcentral is "partial 16S ribosomal RNA". It matches the Rfam family "Bacterial small subunit ribosomal RNA", at positions 30 to 526 of the family's 1533-position model. The record is from RNAcentral.